CGUUUUUUCGUAUGGGAUAAUAGGGAAUCCGGUGGGAGUCCGGAACUGUGCCCGCAGCUGUGUGGUCCGUUGAUGGCCGGCUAUUUACGCCAUUGUCCUUCGGGAUGAGAAGGCAGCCUGGUCUGGACAAGUCAGAAGACCUGCCGAUAUUAA
This 153-nucleotide non-coding RNA is filed under the name bovine gut metagenome. The record is from RNAcentral.